This is a long non-coding RNA of Lolium rigidum, 3828 nucleotides long. RefSeq lists it as uncharacterized. Lineage: Eukaryota; Viridiplantae; Streptophyta; Magnoliopsida; Poales; Poaceae. The transcript is spliced from 6 exons. The record is from RefSeq and is a predicted model, not a curated record.
CCCAACAAACCAGUAUCAUGAUCUCCGCUAUGCCUCCUACUACGCACGCGUAGUCAACGCGUGAUCGACCUCGCCCUCUCCCUCUAGAUCCCAGAGUUUCCCGAGCCUGAUCGUCCUCGGCUCCUCGCCCUCUCCCUCUAGAUGCCAUACUAGGUCUGUUCCUCGCCGGCACCGCCCCAUUCCCGGACACAUGCCCCAUGUCCUCGCCGGCACUGUCGGAUUCCCUAGGGACGGCGAUUCCUCAUCCCCGGCGGCCUCAUGAACGGAGUCGAGAAGGCCGGAAGGGCAUGGAGGCCGUGGGCAGCGAUAUCCACAGGAUGCUCCACAAUCGAGACCCGCACCUUGCGUCAGCGUUGCAUAGUAACAGGUACUCUGUAUUAGUGAUGCAUCGAUCGGGUACCCAGCCUCCCACGUCAUGCUUCAGUCCAACCGAUCUUUGAGGGCGUCUCGCGCUUGCAGUAUUUAAUCACGAUUUGAUUUGAUCGAUCGAUCGGUUUGGCUGGAUUUUGUGGCUGGACAUGAGCUAAUCCAUUAGAUUCUCGUGCCGGUAAACGAAGGAAGCUAGCUCUUAUCUUUGGUUGCUCCCGUCAGAGAAACAAAUAGGGCCGCCAGAGGCCAUUAUCGCUUGAUUUGCAUUUGAUUUGAAGGACCAACCACAGCCGUAGGUGGCCGUGUCAUCCUCAACGGGGUCUGUGGACACUGCGGCGUCUCCGUGGAUUCCAUGGCCACCGCGUCCAUGCGCAUCCUCCAGGGUCGUGGGCGACCAUGAUGUUGCAUCCGCCGCCGACCACGAUGCUGCGAACCUGGUGGCUAUGCUGGAGUAUAGGGAGCACCUGGUGCGGGAGAAGUGGAUCCAGAUCGAGACGGCCUAGAUCAUCCGCGAACGCCUCCGCUGGUGCUACCGCGUCGAGGGCAUGAGACAACCACCACAAGAAGCUGGGGCAAGGACCGCCGCCCGGCCGACCUGCAUGGUUUAGAUAAAUGGUUUCCCUCCUCAUGUUCUAAUUGUUCAGUUUGUAGAGAAGUGCAUCUACUAGCUACUUCUUGGAUGUUGUGGGUAAAAUGAAGUAUUGCAGAAGACAAUUGGUUAUUAGGUGAGCACGCUGUACCUCAACACCUCCAAACCAACGAGCAAACCAGAAGCGUCGCCAGCUCCUACACGAGGACCAUGAAGUCUGCAAGCCCAUCCCAGGUUAUAUUAUCAUUUGGUUCAGUGUUCAUUGUAGUCCGACAGAUAAAUUAAAUUGACUUGGGUAUGGUCAGUUACAAAAGGUGAACAGAUGAGCAUGCCACUUGCAGGUGUGUACAGAUUCUUUAUUGUAGAUGGCAAAGUAAUUUGGCAUGAAUAAUUCAAUGAUGUUUCAAAGUAAUCUGAUGUUCACCGAGUAGACAUAAUUGGUUAGCAUGGUUUCUUUCUUUUUGAUAGUUUCAGAUUAGGAGUAAAUUAGUUCAAAUACAACUCAGGUUCUCCAAUCCUCUACAAAUAGUUUAGCACCAACAAAAUCGGAGAAGCCCACCCUUCAAACUAGCUACAGAUUCCAAUUAAGUUCUAACCACCCAAGUACUUGUGUAAUUUGUAUCAUGAUCACAAACAAAGCGUCAUUGACAUGGGACCUUCCCUUUAUUGUCAGGCUAUAGCUUGAGUGUUAUUAGAAGCUUUGGUGUAUUGCACCAUUUCAAUUUAGUUCAAUAUGACCUGACACUAUAGCAUAUCCUUAUGAUGAGCUACAACAUAUGUGUAAUCAAGGUUAUCGAUAUUAAAAGCAGUUGCUUUUUAACAGACAACAUAAGCCAGAGAUCAUUUUGGAACAUCGCGCGCGAUUUGACCAAUCUGAAUCAUGCCCAUGAUCAGGUGGAACCUCCGGCAUCACCGAAAUCGUUUGCGCCCGGGAGGGGUGAAGAGGCUUGGCGGAGGACGCCUUGACGCUGGCAAAUAAUGAUCAAGGAGUGCAUAAGCUGCCUACGCUGCAGCGGUAAGGAGACGUCGUAGCAACAACACACAGUAGUGCUCACAAGUGAGGGGAUUCCCAUUGGUUUGCAUCUUGCAGCAUUUUUGAGAUUUAUUUAGGGCAAAUUUCCGUUGUAGUGUGGCCUGUUUGAGAGUUUAUAUUGCUACUUUGUCAUGUAGACCCUUUUAUUCACGAUCUGAAUCCGACAGGAAUAGUAGAAUUGAAGGUUUGUGAGGAUGUGUCUAACCUGAUAUCCCACAUGAUUUCUUUGCACCAUAUGCAUUUUCCAAGAGGUGCUGAUCAAUAAGAAUUAUCUAUGGAUUAGCGUGCAUAGUAGUAACUCAUACACGCAAUUCCUAUGGAUUACAGUGGAGUCAAAAGAUGCAUGCAAGAGCAUUAUAUCUGCCCCAUUAUAUUAGAAGAUAAAUAAAUACACUACAAGAAUAUAAAACCUGAUCAUUGCUACAGUUUUCCUUCUGUUUGUUUCAAAUUAUAUUUCUUUUCUUGGGUGCACACACUGCUCAUUAUAUUAAAAAAUAUGUUCGUUUGCAAAAAGAAUCCUAGAACCCAUCAAGAGUCUGUGAGUAAUAUUUAUUGUACUUCUGCAGAAUACUUCUAUUUGAGGUUUGAUGCCCUCAUGGUGCUAUGACUAUAAGAUAUUUGAACAAAAAGAGGAAGGGGAGGGAGGGCGGUGCCGGCGAGCAGGAAAAGCGAUCGACCCUAUGCGAUGGAGGAAGGUAGAGGGCGAAGAAGCGUCACUGUGGGUGGAAGGGUGGUGCACUGCAGAAGUUCUCUCAGGGGAUAGCCUGGGAGGUCUGUCCUCACAAAAGGACACAUGUUUAUUUGUGUUGCUCGUUGGUUCACAACCUGUCAAAUAUGACAUGCAUAUAUAUACUCAGAAACCAUGCCUUUUGUAUGUUCUCAGUUGUUCUUCUGCCCUGAAUAUAUAAAGGUGACCAAGAAGUGCUCUGUUCAAGCUAUGAAUGAGGUUCCAGUGGCCAAUGCCAGAAUUCAAAUUUUGGGAACACCACCACAAGGACUCCUAAUGCUUCAAAAAAAUUAAGCGGCAAGCUCCAGCGGUGAUUAUGGCUGGUGCUAGGCGCGGGGAUGGUAGAGGCCCAGUCGGAGGGAGAAACGGGGUGCUAUAGCUCAACAUGCUCAGCAGGAAGGCAGAGGGAGGGUCCGGGAAAGCUGGAGAGGGCGUAAGAAAGACAACGCGGUCAUUGGUGGCGGCGGCCGGACUGAGGCAUGGUUGUGGUGGUGCUUGAGGGUGGGCGGCUCCUCGGGAAGGAGAUGGUUGAUUAUAACGGAGCGGAAGGGGUACUGCGCCAAGUCAGGGACGGGCUGAAGAAAAACACCAAGGCGCCUAUUAAGAGCAACUUGUCGCAAUUCCUGGUGUAGCUGGUGAUUGAGGGUGUGGUUGAACAUCAGUGGCGUGGGACUCCACCUGGCCCCACCUCCUGUGUUAAAAUGAUGGAUUACAAGACUGAUCUACUCCAUCCGUUCCAGUUCAUAGGGCUUGCGCGUAUCUCUUGGUUGUCAAUUUGGCCAACAUAAUAUCAUUUAUAUAAUAUAAAAAUUAUAUAAUUAAAGUGGAACAUCUAAGCUUUCUAAUGAUAUAUAUUUUGUAAUACAUAUGUUGCAUUAUCAUCGUCAAAUUUACGACCUAGGGACACGCGUAAGCCCUGUGAACUGGGACGGAUGGAGUAAUAUGCUUUGGUUAUUCUUUUUUUGUGGGUUAGUUCAACCCAGAGUUAUGUGAGAUUGAAAGGAAAAGAAAAUUGUGACGGAGAAGAAAUCCGACAUGUAUCAUUUUACGUCCAUAUUUUGGAGCUCGUACAAUGUUGCAUUAUAUCUAAAUCCUUGCAUACGUAUACCA